GAUGAACGCUGGCGGCGUGCCUAAUACAUGCAAGUCGAGCGAACAGACGAGGAGCUUGCUCCUCUGACGUUAGCGGCGGACGGGUGAGUAACACGUGGAUAACCUACCUAUAAUACUGGGAUAACUUCGGGAAACCGGAUCUAAUACCGGAUAAUAUAUUGAACCGCAUGGUUCAAUAGUGAAAGACGGUUUUGCGGUCACUUAUAGAUGGAUCCGCGCCGCAUUAGCUAGUUGGUAAGGUAACGGCUUACCAAGGCAACGAUGCGUAGCCGAACUGAGAGGGUGAUCGGCGACACUGGAACUGGGACACGGUCCAGACUCCUACGGGAGGCAGCAGUAGGGAAUCUUCCGCAAUGGGCGAAAACUUGACGGAGCAACGCCGCGUGAGUGAUGAAGGUCUUGGGAUCGUAAAACUCUGUCAUUAGGGAAGAACAAAUGUGUAAGUAACUAUGCACGUAUUGACGGUAACUAAUCAGAAAGCCACGGCUAACUACGUG
RNAcentral lists this ribosomal RNA (497 nucleotides) under uncultured bacterium. RNAcentral's name for it is "partial 16S ribosomal RNA". It matches the Rfam family "Bacterial small subunit ribosomal RNA", at positions 28 to 507 of the family's 1533-position model. The record is from RNAcentral.